CCUACGGGGGGCAGCAGUGGGGAAUAUUGGACAAUGGGGGGAACCCUGAUCCAGCCAUGCCGCGUGUGUGAAGAAGGCCCUCGGGUUGUAAAGCACUUUCAGUGAGGAAGAACGCCUGGUGGUUAAUACCCAUCAGGAAAGACAUCACUCACAGAAGAAGCACCGGCUAACUCCGUGCCAGCAGCCGCGGUAAUACGGAGGGUGCGAGCGUUAAUCGGAAUUACUGGGCGUAAAGCGCGCGUAGGUGGCUUGAUAAGCCGGUUGUGAAAGCCCCGGGCUCAACCUGGGAACGGCAUCCGGAACUGUCAAGCUAGAGUGCAGGAGAGGAAGGUAGAAUUCCCGGUGUAGCGGUGUAAUGCGUAGAGAUCGGGAGGAAUACCAGUGGCGAAGGCGGCCUUCUGGACUGACACUGACACUGAGGUGCGAAAGCGUGGGUAGCAAACAGGAUUAGAUACCCCUGUAGUC
Molecule: ribosomal RNA, 465 nt
Filed under: Vreelandella stevensii
Lineage: Bacteria; Pseudomonadati; Pseudomonadota; Gammaproteobacteria; Oceanospirillales; Halomonadaceae
Description: partial 16S ribosomal RNA
Rfam family: Bacterial small subunit ribosomal RNA
Source: RNAcentral